UGUAAGUGCGCUAAUAUCGUGCUUAUUUGACAAAGGCUCCAAAGGAAGCCACGGCUAACUCUGUGCCAGCAGCCGCGGUAAUACAGAGGUGGCGAGCGUUGUUCGGAAUUAUUGGGCGUAAAGAGCACGUAGGUGGGUUUGCAAGUCAGAUGUGAAAGCCUUCUGUUCAACGGGAGAAUUGCAUCUGAAACUGCUAAUCUUGAGUAUAGGAGGGG
Molecule: ribosomal RNA, 215 nt
Filed under: uncultured Planctomycetales bacterium
Lineage: Bacteria; Pseudomonadati; Planctomycetota; Planctomycetia; Planctomycetales
Description: partial 16S ribosomal RNA
Rfam family: Bacterial small subunit ribosomal RNA
Source: RNAcentral